UACAGGGGGUGCAAACGUUGCUCGGAAUUAUUGGGCGUAAAGCGCACGUAGGCGGUUCGUUAAGUCGGAUGUGAAAUCCCACGGCUCAACCGUGGAAGUGCACUCGAAACUGCAUAGCUAGAGUCCUGGAGAGGAAGGUGGAAUGCUUGGUGUAGAGGUGAAAUUCGUAGAUAUCAAGCGGAACACCGGUGGCGAAGGCGGCCUUCUGGACAGUGACGUGACGCUGAGACGGCGAAAGCGUGGGGAGCAAACAGG
This 255-nucleotide ribosomal RNA is filed under the name uncultured bacterium. Its description in RNAcentral is "partial 16S ribosomal RNA". It matches the Rfam family "Bacterial small subunit ribosomal RNA", at positions 524 to 776 of the family's 1533-position model. The record is from RNAcentral.